GAUGAACGCUGACAGAAUGCUUAACACAUGCAAGUCGAUGGGGAAGUGGUGCUUGCACCAUGGUAACCAUGGCGGACGGGUGAGUAACGCGUAAGGAACUUGCCUGCGGGACUGGGAUAACAGCAGGAAACUGCUGAUAAUACCGGAUAAGGUCAUUAAGCUGCAUAGCUUAGUGAUGAAAGGAGACGCCUGCGGAGAGCCUUGCGUCCUAUUAGCUAGUUGGAGGGGUAACGGCCCACCAAGGCGAAGAUAGGUAGCCGGCCUGAGAGGGUGGACGGCCACAAGGGGACUGAGAGACGGCCCUUACUCCUACGGGAGGCAGCAGUGGGGAAUAUUGGACAAUGGGGGCAACCCUGAUCCAGCAAUUCUGUGUGCACGAAGACGGUUUUCGGAUUGUAAAGUGCUUUCAGCAGGGAAGAAGGAAGUGACGGUACCUGCAGAAGAAGCGACGGCUAAAUACGUG
This 463-nucleotide ribosomal RNA is filed under the name uncultured bacterium. Its description in RNAcentral is "partial 16S ribosomal RNA". It matches the Rfam family "Bacterial small subunit ribosomal RNA", at positions 28 to 507 of the family's 1533-position model. The record is from RNAcentral.